This 366-nucleotide ribosomal RNA is filed under the name uncultured Pelotomaculum sp. RNAcentral describes it as "bacterial SSU rRNA". It matches the Rfam family "Bacterial small subunit ribosomal RNA", at positions 1016 to 1382 of the family's 1533-position model. The record is from RNAcentral. Lineage: Bacteria; Bacillati; Bacillota; Clostridia; Eubacteriales; Desulfotomaculaceae.
ACCCUCGGGUGACAGGGAGACAGGUGGUGCAUGUGUCGUCAGCUCGUGUCGUGAGAUGUUGGGUUAAGUCCCGCAACGAGCGCAACCCCUACGUUUAGUUGCUAACAGGUGAAGCUGAGCACUCUAGACGAACUGCCGUUGACAAAACGGAGGAAGGUGGGGAUGACGUCAAAUCAUCAUGCCCCUUAUGUUCUGGGCUACACACGUGCUACAAUGGCCGGUACAGACGGAGGCGAAGCCGCGAGGCGGAGCAAAUCCGAAAAAGCCGGUCUCAGUUCGGAUUGCAGGCUGCAAUUCGCCUGCAUGAAGUCGGAAUCGCUAGUAAUCGCAGGUCAGCAUACUGCGGUGAAUACGUUCCCGGGCCUU